UGAUGUCUUGUAUGCUUAAUAGCACUUUCUAUUAUACUUGAAGCGGAUGUGUGAUCAAAAGAAGAGUUUUUAUAACACUGGACGUCAAGGCACACAUUGGACAUCAUAAUGGAAAGCCACUAGUCAACCAAAAUUGGGGAAGAUAGCUUUAAAUGAUGAUACUGAAAGCUUUGGCAGCUCUCCGACCUGUGGUAUAACCUUGCUGGCAGCUAAGCACCACAUAGCUGUUUGCUCACCCUCCCCCCCAGUGCAAUGGGGGAGAGAAUUGAGGGGAAAAAAAAUGUAAAAGCACGUGGGUUGAGAUAGACAGUUUAUUAGGACAGAAAAUAAGGAAAAAUAAUAACUAUAAUAGUAAUAAUAAUGUGUACAAAAGAAGUGAUGCACAAAGCAAUUGCUUACCAGCUGCUGAUUGAUGCCCAUCCCAUCCCUGAGCAAUGGUCUCCCCACCCUGGCCAGCCAGCCCAUAUUAAUUGUUCAUUAUGUCGUCAUAUGGUAUGGAAGAUCCAUAUCUGUCCCCUCCCAGCUCCUGCUACACCCCAGCCUCCUCACUGGCAGUGUGGUAUGAGAAGCUGGAAAGUCCUUGGCUUAGUGUAAACACUGCUCAGCAAUGGCUUCAAUAUUGGUAUGAUUGGUUACUACACUGAUAGUUCAGCACCAGACGAAGUGGAAAUAUUAGGUAUGUCCAGCCAGCCCAUGGAUGUCUGUGUUAGUUGAAUGAGGUGAAUGGACAGGAAGUCGUCUGAGCUUAAGGUCACCCCGAGUCCUUCAAAAGCAGGUCUUCUUGGCACAGGCUUUCAGAUAAGAAACAGAUGGAAGGAAGGAAACCUCAUGCAGUUGUUUAAAAUGGAUGAGUAAAGGAUUGGAGGCUAACUGUAAAUAUCACUGGAAGACUAAUUC
This is a long non-coding RNA of Cygnus olor (mute swan), 897 nucleotides long. RefSeq lists it as uncharacterized. Lineage: Eukaryota; Metazoa; Chordata; Aves; Anseriformes; Anatidae. The transcript has 3 exons. The record is from RefSeq and is a predicted model, not a curated record.